RNAcentral lists this long non-coding RNA (578 nucleotides) under Rattus norvegicus (Norway rat). RNAcentral's name for it is "long non-coding RNA NONRATT029887". The record is from RNAcentral. Lineage: Eukaryota; Metazoa; Chordata; Mammalia; Rodentia; Muridae.
CAGGUGGGCACUCCUGAGGCUGCACAGCGGAGGAGACCACCAACACUGCCCACCCCUGCCCACAUCCCUGGCCCAAGAGGAAACUGUAUAAGGCCUCUGGGUUCCCGUAGGGGAGGGCCCAGGAGCGGCAGGACCCCUGCACCUGAGACACCACCAGAACCUGAAGGAAACAGACCGGAUAAACAGUUCUCUGCAUCCAAAUCCCGUGGGAGGGAGAGCUAAAACUACAGAGAGGCAGACACGCCUGGGAAACCAGAAGAGACUGCACUGUGCCCACAUCCAGAUGCCAGAGGAAAACACCAAACGCCAUCUGGAACUCUGGUGCACGGAGGCUCCCGGAAAGAGCGGCGCAGAUCUUCCCGGUUGCUGCCGCCGCGGAGAGGACUUAGGCAGUACCCCACGAGCAAACUUGAGCCUUGGAACCGCAGGUAGGACCAACUUUUCCCCUGCAAGAAACCUGCCUGGUGAACUCAAGACACAGGCCCACAGGAACAGCUGAAGACCUGUAGAGAGGAAAAACUACACACCCGAAAGCAGAACACUCUGUCCCCAUAACUGGCUGAAAGAAAACAGGAAAA